This is a long non-coding RNA of Engraulis encrasicolus (European anchovy), 921 nucleotides long. RefSeq lists it as uncharacterized. The record is from RefSeq and is a predicted model, not a curated record. Lineage: Eukaryota; Metazoa; Chordata; Actinopteri; Clupeiformes; Engraulidae. The transcript has 2 exons.
GUUGGACCCACACUGGAGCGCGUAGAGCGCAGCUGAAAUGCGGACGCCAGGUUGCCGCAUGUAGCCUAACCGGCUCGAAGCAUUGCAUGGUGAAGCAAGGGUCAACCGUAGACUUCCAAGCUCGGUCCAGUGCUUCCCAAUUGCAACUGAAGGUAAUUUCUAAUUAACCGUCACUCUGUGCCUGUGGCUUUCAUGCCACACCUUGCUCAUUGAUAAUGGCAUUUCCCUGGCAUUAACCCAGUCUGUCUUGUGCUUUCUAGGUUGAGCACAUUAUUGUCAAUUGGCUGGGGUGGGGGGACGCUGCCGUCUUUUCCCGGUGUUUGUGUUUGUUAUUUUGCCUUUUACCACCACGAGCUCUUUUAGUAGUGGCAGGUUGUUGUUCCUUUGCGCAGGUGCGCGACGCUUUCGUCUUUCAGCCAUACGGUCUGACACGGUCAGCUCCAGUCACCCACCCCUUAGACAAGGGAUGAGUGAUUGGGGACUGGCCGGUUGAGAUUUGUAGCAGUAUCGUGUAAACUUAUUGGUGAGGUGUAGAUCCCCUGAGUUGUAGGCCUAUAGUAAACUCUCUGCCAAGAGGCCUGAUUUGAUAAACAUAGGCUACCUCUUCACUGUGAAUCAUUUCAGUGUGCUGUGACUUAUUUUGUUUAUUUUGAUUAUGUUUUGUGUGUACAGUUUUGAUUGAUUGCAGUGUUAUUUUGCAUUCGCAGUGCAGUGUGUAGUUAACACACUCAGUAAAUUACCUGUACUAGGCCUACUCAGUGCUCUCGCACUUAAGCCGUCACCGUUUCACGAUAUGUACCUGUAUUGACUUCAGUAGAGUUAAGACUCUGUUUGUGUAUAUGGACUCAAGUGAACUGCCUGCUCAUUUUGAAAACGAAUAAGACUGAAAGCAGAAGAAAAUAAAAACUAUUGUAUGUGCAA